This is a non-coding RNA of Ceratotherium simum simum (southern white rhinoceros), 171 nucleotides long. Lineage: Eukaryota; Metazoa; Chordata; Mammalia; Perissodactyla; Rhinocerotidae. The record is from RefSeq and is a predicted model, not a curated record.
UUGAAGGCAAACCAUGAACAAAUAAAUCACUCAGCCAACUUCAGCAUGAAAUGACAUUUGGAGGAAAAUGCUAUUCUAGGUUAAAAUUAAUCAGUAAUUCAAGAGAGUUGUCUCUCUCAAAUGUUGUUACUUACCAACUAUAAAUAUAUAUUACUGAGCAAAACAUUGCAA